This 155-nucleotide ribosomal RNA is filed under the name uncultured bacterium. RNAcentral's name for it is "partial 16S ribosomal RNA". It matches the Rfam family "Bacterial small subunit ribosomal RNA", at positions 355 to 507 of the family's 1533-position model. The record is from RNAcentral.
UAAGGAAUAUUGGUCAAUGGACGAAAGUCUGAACCAGCCAUGCCGCGUGAAGGAUGAAGGUCCUCUGGAUUGUAAACUUCUUUUAUCUGGGACGAAAAAAGGGAAUUCUUUCUCACUUGACGGUACCAGAAGAAUAAGCACCGGCUAACUCCGUG